CUACGGGAGGCAGCAGUGAGGAAUAUUGGGCAAUGGGGGAAACCCUGACCCAGCAAUGCCGCGUGCGGGAAGACGCCUUUCGGGGUGUAAACCGCUUUUCUGCAUGAAGAGGAAGGACGGUAGUGCAGGAAUAAGUCACGGCUAACUACGUGCCAGCAGCCGCGGUAAUACGUAGGGUGCAAGCGUUGUCCGGAUUUAUUGGGCGUAAAGAGCUCGUAGGCGGUCUGUCGCGUCGGAUGUGAAAACCCAAUGGCUUAACCUUGGGCCUGCAUUCGAUACGGGCAGACUAGAGUGUGGUAGGGGAAACUGGAACUCCUGGUGUAGCGGUGGAAUGCGCAGAUAUCAGGAGGAACACCUGCAGCGAAGGCGGCGCUCUGGGCUGGAACUGACGCUGAGGAGCGAAAGCAUGGGUAGCAAACAGGAUUAGAUACCCCAGUAGUCC
RNAcentral lists this ribosomal RNA (442 nucleotides) under uncultured bacterium. RNAcentral describes it as "bacterial SSU rRNA". It matches the Rfam family "Bacterial small subunit ribosomal RNA", at positions 339 to 796 of the family's 1533-position model. The record is from RNAcentral.